Molecule: long non-coding RNA, 1211 nt
Organism: Patella vulgata (common limpet)
Lineage: Eukaryota; Metazoa; Mollusca; Gastropoda; Patellidae
Exons: 4
Source: RefSeq, a predicted model, not a curated record
CUAGUUGGUGAUAAAUAUCUCAACUUCUUCCUGUAUGCGACAAUGGAAUUUCCUUCCGGUAUUAUAUUCUUUCUGAUCGUUGAUAGAUUUGGUAGAAAGAAAACACUAAGAACAUUUUAUGCUUUAUGUGGGACUGGUAUGAUUCUGGCUACAAUUAUUAAAGUUACAUCCGAUAGUUAUGCAGCAUCAGUUUGUAUAACUAUUUUAUCAUUGGUUGGUAAACUUGGAGCCGGUGGUGCUUUUGGUGCAUGUUUCUUCUACACCCCAGAAAUUUUCCCCACCAAUUUAAGGAAUGUUGGACUGGGAUCAGCGUCCAUCGCUGCUCGAGUUGGUGGAAUGUUAGGACCAUUCUCACGAGUUUUGGCUCAACAUAUAUCAUGGGGUCCAGGAGCUGUAUUCGGUGGCUGUUGUUUGCUUGCCACCCUCUUGAUCACCAUUUUACCGGAAACUAGAGGGAAGGAACUCCCACAGACUAUGGCGGACGUGAAACUUCUGUACAAGAAGAUACCAGAUGACUCAACAUUAAAACUGAAGGAUAGAAAGACAAAGAUAUUUAAAUCGUAAUUUUAAAUAGAUAAAUAGCAAUAUCUAAAAUUUCGACUUGUGUUUAAAGAAACAGUGCGAAGUUAACUCGAGGUGUUAUGUUGAUUAGUAACGAGGCAACCUUUUUUUAAUACGCCCGUCGGUUCCUUCACAUUUGUUUGUGGACAUUCUACAGGUCACAAUUUUUAUUCCAUUUUGACAAAACUUGGAAUAUAGGUUUAUCUCCAUAAGAUCUUGGUUCCUUUUGAUAUUGAUAGGUAACCGACCAUAACAUCACGGAGUAUGGACCUUGUUUUUAGCUUGUUGUCCCUCUAGAGGUCAUAAUUUUUAUCCGAUUUUAAACACCGUUUACAUAUAUCACCGUUACACCAUAAUGAAGACUGACUUCGAAUUUCUGGAAAAUCGCAACGAAACUGACUGAGUUCAAUGAUUAACAUUAUCAGCUAAAGCUAAGUAGAGCUAAGCAAUUUCAUUGGUCGAUUCUUUGGGACAAGAUACAUUUGAUUCUAACUGAUGGAGAGUGAUGAAACUUAAUUAGCGUAUAGCUAAUUGCUCGAUACUUUUCAAAAGGAUAAAUGCAAUGUGCAAUUAAUAUAUAUAUGUGUCAUCUAUUUAUUGUGGGAUUGCGACGGGGGACAUCAGGCGGUUGAUAUGGGGCGCUUCGUUAC